RNAcentral lists this transfer RNA (72 nucleotides) under Bos taurus (domestic cattle). It matches the Rfam family "tRNA". From Rfam's summary of the family: Transfer RNA (tRNA) molecules are approximately 80 nucleotides in length. Their secondary structure includes four short double-helical elements and three loops (D, anti-codon, and T loops). RNAcentral also lists the same sequence under 2 other names. Lineage: Eukaryota; Metazoa; Chordata; Mammalia; Artiodactyla; Bovidae. The record is from Rfam by way of RNAcentral.
UCUCUGGUGGUCCAGGGUCAAAGACUCUGCACUCCCAAUGCACGGAACCAGGUUCAAUUCCUGGUCGGGGAA